Cyprinus carpio carpio is the source of this 1074-nucleotide long non-coding RNA. Lineage: Eukaryota; Metazoa; Chordata; Actinopteri; Cypriniformes; Cyprinidae. The record is from Ensembl.
GCUUCAUCUUAGAAAACCGUGCAAAAAACGGAGCGUAAAAGCAAAGGAGGAGCAGAGCGGGAACGUAUAAAAAAGAGAAAAGCCCUGGCCACAGACGCAUUAAGUUGAUGCAAAAUCCCAGCCAUGUUCACCAGUAAGGGAGCAGGGUUUAAUCUCGUCGGGUUCCUGAUCACCAUGUUGGGGGUUAUUCUGCGAAAACAACAGGCUGGAUGUACAUUAUAUCUUACUUAACACACAAGACAUAUUCAACAGAGCAACGAAUCGACGAGUCACCAUGGAAAUGGACAAAAGAACAAUUCAGAUGUGUGCUGCACAUUUUAUGGAGGAUGAGGACUGUUUCCUGAACCAGUAGCCUGCAAUGCGUCUGUGGCACAACGGCUGUUUCUAUAAAGUUGGACAGUUCAAACUUUGGACAGUCUGGGGCUUCUGACUCACAGCCUGUAGCACGAUGGAAAUGGAGUGGGAGUGUUGGGGAGCUGGAUAAGAUGGAAGUGGCUGAGAGGAGACAAAAAUAAAACCCAAUUUCAACAAUAGCUCAAACCCCUGCCUCAGUGUCUACAGGAAGACGAGCCAGCGCACCAUCAGCAAGUCCUGGAAUUUUGUAUUCCGCUGUAGGGAGUUUUUUUAAGCUUUAUUUUUCACAGACGUCCUUGAAAAUAAGGCAGGGCGACUAAACAGUUGUGGCACUUAAAAAAAGUAUUUCUGGGAGAAAAAAAAGAAGUGAACCACCUGAAACCUAUGGACACUAACCGCUAAUUUUGUCCCUCUUCUUCUUCUUUUUUAGAGGCUACAGUGAGGUGGGAGCUUACAAUGGAAAUGAAUGUUGUUGGUUUUUAGAAGGUUUAAAUGCAGAAUAGCAAAGCUUGUAAUUGUAAAAUCACUUACAUUGUUAUUAUUUAAAGUUAUGUAUUAUUUCAGCUGCAAAGUUUUUCUUGUCAGUUUUAUGAUCAUUUAAGGUACAGUAGUACGCUGUCAUGGCAACAGUGUUGUAAAAUGAAAUAAAAUUUUACAUGGAAAAAUCUGGAAAGCUUUUAUAUAUUUUAUAUUUGCCACACUAAAAUCAUAUUAAUGCAC